RNAcentral lists this ribosomal RNA (1059 nucleotides) under Staphylococcus sp. RNAcentral describes it as "bacterial SSU rRNA". It matches the Rfam family "Bacterial small subunit ribosomal RNA", at positions 62 to 1097 of the family's 1533-position model. Lineage: Bacteria; Bacillati; Bacillota; Bacilli; Caryophanales; Staphylococcaceae. The record is from RNAcentral.
UCGAGCGAACAGACGAGGAGCUUGCUCCUCUGACGUUAGCGGCGGACGGGUGAGUAACACGUGGAUAACCUACCUAUAAGACUGGGAUAACUUCGGGAAACCGGAGCUAAUACCGGAUAAUAUAUUGAACCGCAUGGUUCAAUAGUGAAAGACGGUUUUGCUGUCACUUAUAGAUGGAUCCGCGCCGCAUUAGCUAGUUGGUAAGGUAACGGCUUACCAAGGCAACGAUGCGUAGCCGACCUGAGAGGGUGAUCGGCCACACUGGAACUGAGACACGGUCCAGACUCCUACGGGAGGCAGCAGUAGGGAAUCUUCCGCAAUGGGCGAAAGCCUGACGGAGCAACGCCGCGUGAGUGAUGAAGGUCUUCGGAUCGUAAAACUCUGUUAUUAGGGAAGAACAAAUGUGUAAGUAACUAUGCACGUCUUGACGGUACCUAAUCAGAAAGCCACGGCUAACUACGUGCCAGCAGCCGCGGUAAUACGUAGGUGGCAAGCGUUAUCCGGAAUUAUUGGGCGUAAAGCGCGCGUAGGCGGUUUUUUAAGUCUGAUGUGAAAGCCCACGGCUCAACCGUGGAGGGUCAUUGGAAACUGGAAAACUUGAGUGCAGAAGAGGAAAGUGGAAUUCCAUGUGUAGCGGUGAAAUGCGCAGAGAUAUGGAGGAACACCAGUGGCGAAGGCGACUUUCUGGUCUGUAACUGACGCUGAUGUGCGAAAGCGUGGGGAUCAAACAGGAUUAGAUACCCUGGUAGUCCACGCCGUAAACGAUGAGUGCUAAGUGUUAGGGGGUUUCCGCCCCUUAGUGCUGCAGCUAACGCAUUAAGCACUCCGCCUGGGGAGUACGACCGCAAGGUUGAAACUCAAAGGAAUUGACGGGGACCCGCACAAGCGGUGGAGCAUGUGGUUUAAUUCGAAGCAACGCGAAGAACCUUACCAAAUCUUGACAUCCUCUGACCCCUCUAGAGAUAGAGUUUUCCCCUUUCGGGGGACAGAGUGACAGGUGGUGCAUGGGUUGUCGUCAGCUCGUGUCGUGAGAUGUUGGGGUUAAGUCCCGCAACGAGC